This 460-nucleotide ribosomal RNA is filed under the name uncultured bacterium. RNAcentral describes it as "partial 16S ribosomal RNA". It matches the Rfam family "Bacterial small subunit ribosomal RNA", at positions 338 to 795 of the family's 1533-position model. The record is from RNAcentral.
CCUACGGGGGGCAGCAGUGAGGAAUAUUGGUCAAUGGACGAGAGUCUGAACCAGCCAAGUAGCGUGAAGGAUGACUGCCCUAUGGGUUGUAAACUUCUUUUAUCUGGGAAUAAAAUGUUCCACGUGUGGGCUUUUGUAUGUACCAUAUGAAUAAGGAUCGGUCAACCCCGUUCCAGCAGCCGCGGUAAUACGGAGGAUCCGAGCGUUAUCCGGAUUUAUUGGGGUUAAAGGGAGCGUAGGUGGAUUGUUAAGUCAGUUGUGAAAGUUUGCGGCUAAAACGUCAAAGUGCAGUUGAAACUGGCAGUCUUGAGUACAGUAGAGGUGGGCGGAAUUCGUGGUGUAGCGGUGAAAUGCUUAGAUAUCGCGAAGAACUCCGAUUGCGAAGGCAGCUCACUGGACUGCAACUGACACUGAGGCUCGAAAGUGUGGGUAUCGAACAGGAUUAGAUACCCUUGUAGUC